UACGUAGGUGGCGAGCGUUGUCCGGAUUUACUGGGCGUAAAGGGCGCGUAGGCGGCGUGGUAAGUCAGCUGUGAAAUCUCCGAGCUUAACUCGGAACGGUCAGCUGAUACUGCUGUGCUAGAGUACAGAAAGGGCAAUCGGAAUUCUUGGUGUAGCGGUGAAAUGCGUAGAUAUCAAGAGGAACACCUGAGGCGAAGGCGGGUUGCUAGGCUGAUACUGACGCUGAGGCGCGAAAGCUAGGGUAGCAAACGGG
Molecule: ribosomal RNA, 253 nt
Filed under: uncultured bacterium
Lineage: Bacteria
Description: partial 16S ribosomal RNA
Rfam family: Bacterial small subunit ribosomal RNA
Source: RNAcentral